Canis lupus familiaris (dog) is the source of this 1312-nucleotide long non-coding RNA. RefSeq lists it as uncharacterized. The transcript is spliced from 6 exons. The record is from RefSeq and is a predicted model, not a curated record. NCBI's taxonomy places the organism in Eukaryota, Metazoa, Chordata, Mammalia, Carnivora, Canidae.
GUCUCAGCCAGAUAUUCUUGACAAGUAUGGUCAGUUUCUGGAUCCUAAUGGCUGCAACAGGGCUGUCUCGAUGAGAAGCUGGGUCACUCUCAAGGGUUAGACUUGAUAGUAUUCUUGCAAGCUUGGAAAAAAAGAUGAUCUAAAGCAUCCCUACUGCACUGGGUACACACUAUGUUUGAAGUCAGAGGAGCAGCGAUGACAAAAGGAGAAUGUCUCCGCAGCAAGAGUCCUUUGUAUAUAUUAUGCCCUCGUUGAAUCCUCAAAAGAAUUUCAUGAGGCAGGCCUAUGCCAUUUGCAGGUGUGGCCUCUUGAAGUCCUCACAACAUUCUGAAAAGCUCUGAGGUUCUGCCUUCAUCAUUUCUUGCCUGGAUCAACACAAGGCCCCUGACCCCUGUUUCCCAUAUUCUCUCCUCCACACUACCUGCUGCCAGAGCCAGCUUCUUACAACAAAAAACAAGUCUGAGUCACGCUCCUGUUCAAAAUGUGUGAGUAGCUCCCCUCCUUACUCUGGUCUAUGAGGCUCUGUAAGAUCCAGCCACUGCAGCUCAGGUCUUCCAGCUGUAUCUCUUGCGCUCUGCCUCUUUCGAAUCUCAAUGCAGCCAGGUGCAAGUACUCAAAGCUUCUGUGGGCACCACAUUCUCUGUCCUCCAGGCCUCUAGAGGCUCUGCAUGGCCCCUCCGCCCCUCCCACCUGACUCAGGGUGUGCAUCCUUCUAAGACUUGGAUAACUUUGUGUGAGAAGCCUUAUCCCUUGGACCAUGCAUCCCUGCCUCCACUGAGCUCAUCCAGUCCCCUGUGCGACCACAAUCACAGUUCUCAUCUACCAGAAUUGUUGCCGCCUGGGUGCCAGGCUGCUUCUCCACCUGAUCUUGGACUUGAAGAGGCUGGAGAGGGGAGAGCCAUCGGGGGGGCUCACUGCUGGGUCCAAGCCUGGUUCCGAGCAGUUGCUCUUUAACAUUUGGGGACCAAAUGAAUGAACUACAAUGUGUCCCGGGUCUGAGAAGUACGGGGCUCUGGAAGCGGUCUCUGUACCCAGGGCAGUUAAUGUAGUCAGAGAGACCAGCACUAGCUAGCUAAGAAGCUAACCGACAACAAAAGGCUUGGGAAGCAGCUUGAGGAAGAAGCUGGGUCUACACAGGUUGCGUGAUGAACUGCGCCAAGUCACUUCCUCAGCGAAGCCUCUGCAGACAUUUCUCAGUGCUCACAACUAGAGAUUCCCAGGUGAAGGACCUGCUCGGUCUAGCCCUGGCCAGCUCUCUGGGUGUUUUUUCUGAAAAUGGGACUCACCGCCUCCCGGCCUGAUUCAGUGGCUA